Non-coding RNA from Acanthosepion pharaonis, 105 nucleotides. The record is from the annotation of a GenBank genome assembly. NCBI's taxonomy places the organism in Eukaryota, Metazoa, Mollusca, Cephalopoda, Sepiida, Sepiidae.
UUACGGUCAAAUCACGCUGAAAACACCGGUUCUCGUUCGAUCACCGAAGUUAAGGAAGGUCAGUACUUAGAUGGGGGACCGCUUGGGAACACCUGGUACUGUAAG